GGAUCAUUACAGAGUUUUUAGGUGUGGUUAGAAAUAACCCGCCGAGCCUCCAACCCUUAUGUUGUUAACCUCUUGUUGCCUCCUGGGGAAGGGAGAAAUCCCCCACCCAGGCUGGAUAUCAAUACUCUGUUUUACAAUAUCAGUCCGAGUAAAAAUUUAAAUUUAUUUUAAAACUUUCAACAACGGAUCUCUUGGUUCUGGCAUCGAUGAAGAACGCAGCGAAAUGCGAUAAGUAAUGUGAAUUGCAGAAUUCAGUGAAUCAUCGAAUCUUUGAACGCACAUUGCGCCCUCUGGUAUUCCGGGGGGCAUGCCUGUUCGAGCGUCAUUACACCAAUCAAGCCUCGCUUGGUAUUGGAGGUGGUGGUUAAGAAAUUGACUGCCUCUCUUGAAGUCUUCCGGCUGGUUAUUAUCUAAAACCCUCAGCGUUGUGGAAACAUUCUCGCUCAUGUGGUUAAGGGAUUACCUCCGCCGUUAAACAUUCUUUUUUAUCAGGUUGACCUCGGAUCAGGUAGGGAUACCCGCUGAACUUAAGCAUAUCAAUAAGCGGAGGAAAAGAAACCAACAGGGAUUGCCCUAGUAACGGCGAGUGAAGCGGCAACAGCUCAAAUUUGAGAUCUGGCGCUUCCAGCGUCCGAGUUGUAAUUUGUAGAGGAUGCUUCUGGUUAACCACCGGUCUAAGUUCCUUGGAACAGGACGUCACAGAGGGUGAGAAUCCCGUAUGUGAUCGGUCGGUUGCCUCUACGUAGCUCCUUCGACGAGUCGAGUUGUUUGGGAAUGCAGCUCUAAAUGGGAGGUAAAUUUCUUCUAAAGCUAAAUAUCUGCCAGAGACCGAUAGCGCACAAGUAGAGUGAUCGAAAGAUGAAAAGCACUCUGGAAAGAGAGUUAAAAAGCACGUGAAAUUGUUGAAAGGGAAGCGUUUGCAAUCAGACUUGUCGGCGGUGUUCCCCUGAGCUUUUGCUUGGGUCACUCAUCGUCUGCAGGCCAGCAUCACCUGUUGCCGUGGGAUAAUAACUCUGGAAUGUAGCUCCUCGGAGUGUUAUAGCCAGUGUUGAUACCACGAGCGGCGGGUGAGGUCCGCG
RNAcentral lists this ribosomal RNA (1079 nucleotides) under uncultured fungus. RNAcentral describes it as "eukaryotic LSU rRNA". The stretch from base 495 to 1079 matches the Rfam family "Eukaryotic large subunit ribosomal RNA", at positions 1 to 593 of the family's 3401-position model. Lineage: Eukaryota; Fungi. The record is from RNAcentral.